RNAcentral lists this long non-coding RNA (211 nucleotides) under Elaeis guineensis (African oil palm). Its description in RNAcentral is "long non-coding RNA (EGUI_LNC077629)". The record is from RNAcentral. Lineage: Eukaryota; Viridiplantae; Streptophyta; Magnoliopsida; Arecales; Arecaceae.
CGUUCUGCAUAUUUUUGUAAUUUCUACAAAACUAGCCAUUAGAGCUAUUAACUGUAGUCGAGAUAACUUGGAUCAAAUAGUGAUCGACUCAAGCUAACUUAGAGCUGACUCGAGAUAGGUUGAGAUUGACUCAAGGUCUUAUUUAAAAAAUCUAACUUUUAUCUUUAGUGGAAGAGUCAGCUCGAUUAUUGAGGAUUGACUCAAAGUUGAU